AAUGGAACAAUGUAGGCAAGGGAAGUUGGGAAAAUGGAUCUGUAACUUCGGGAAAAGGAUUGUCUCUAAGGACUGGGCUAGGGGGUCCCGGCCCCGAACCCAUCGGUUGUCGACGGAUUGCUCGAGCUGCUCACGCGGCGAGAGCAUGUCGCCGCGUGCCAGCCGGGUGCAGACCGGGAAUCGCCCCUUCGGGGUUUUUCAUUGAGCAUGAAACAGUCGACUCAGAACUGGUACGGACAAGGGGAAUCCGACUGUUUAAUUAAAACAACGCAUUGCGAUUGUUCUCAUGGAUGCUGACGCAAUGUGAUUUCUGCCUAGUGCUUUGAAUCUCAAAGUGAAGAAAUUCAACCAAGUGCGGGUAAAUGGCGGGAGUAACUAUGACACUCUUAAGGUAGCCAAAUGCCUUGUCAUCUAAUUAGUGACACGCAUAAAUGAAACCACAGCCAUGGAACGGGCUUGGCGGAAUCAGUGGGGAAAGAAGACCAUGUUGUGCUUGACUCUAGUCUGACUUUGUGAAAUGACUUGAGAGGUGUAGGAUAAGUUGGAGCCCUCACGGGCGCAAGUGAAAUACCACUUCUUUUAACAUUAUUUUACUUAUUCCGAGGGUUGGAAGCGGGGCAUGUCCCCUCCUUUUGGCUCCAAGGCUCGGUUUUAUCGGGCCGAUCCGGGUGGAAGACAUUGUCAGGUGGGGAGUUUGGCUGGGGCGGCACAUCAGUUUAAAGAUAAUGCAAGUGUCCUAAGAUGAGCUCAACGAGAAUAGAAAUCUCGUGCGGAAGAAAAGCGUAAAAGCUCGUUGGAUUCUGAUUUCCAGUACGAAUAUGAACCGUGAAAGCAUGGCCUGUCGAUCCUUUAGAUAUUCGAAGUAUGAAGCUAGAGGUGUCAGAAAAGUUACCAUAGGGAUAACUGGCUUGUGGCAGCCAAGCAUUUAUAGCGGUGUCGCUUUUUGAUCCUUCGAUGCCGGCCCUUCCUAUCAUUGUGAAGCAGAAUUCACCAAGUGUUGGAUUGUUCACCCACCAAUAGGGAACGUGAGCUGGGUUUAGACCGUCGUGAGACACAUUAAUUUUACCCUACUGAUGACAGUGUCGCGAUAAUUAUUCAACCUAGUAUGAGAGGAACCGUUGAUUCACACAAUUGGUCAUCGCACUUGGUUGAAAAGCCAGUGGCGCAAAGCUACUGUGUGACGAAUUAUUACUGAAUGCCUUAAGUCAGAAUCCAAGCUAGCAUGCGACGCCUGCGCCCGCCUCCCGCCCCGACUCAUGUUAGCGGCGCUUGCGCCCCCAAGGGAAUGUGCCAUUGGCUAAGCCGGUCCGGCCGACGUGCCGCGGCCGGCCGCCUUGAGGCUCCCUUCCCAAUGGGCGGUGGGCUGAAUCCUUUGCAGACAACUUAAAUACGUGACAGGGCAUUGUAAGUGGCAGAGUGGCCUUGCUGCCACGAUCCACUGAGAUCCACCCCCAUGUCGCAUGGAUUC
Non-coding RNA from Triticum aestivum (bread wheat), 1468 nucleotides. The record is from Rfam. NCBI's taxonomy places the organism in Eukaryota, Viridiplantae, Streptophyta, Magnoliopsida, Poales, Poaceae.